GACGGGUGAGUAACACGUGGGUAACCUGCCUGUAAGACUGGGAUAACUCCGGGAAACCGGGGCUAAUACCGGAUGCUUGUUUGAACCGCAUGGUUCAAACAUAAAAGGUGGCUUCGGCUACCACUUACAGAUGGACCCGCGGCGCAUUAGCUAGUUGGUGAGGUAAUGGCUCACCAAGGCAACGAUGCGUAGCCGACCUGAGAGGGUGAUCGGCCACACUGGGACUGAGACACGGCCCAGACUCCUACGGGAGGCAGCAGUAGGGAAUCUUCCGCAAUGGACGAAAGUCUGACGGAGCAACGCCGCGUGAGUGAUGAAGGUUUUCGGAUCGUAAAGCUCUGUUGUUAGGGAAGAACAAGUGCCGUUCGAAUAGGGCGGCACCUUGACGGUACCUAACCAGAAAGCCACGGCUAACUACGUGCCAGCAGCCGCGGUAAUACGUAGGUGGCAAGCGUUGUCCGGAAUUAUUGGGCGUAAAGGGCUCGCAGGCGGUUUCUUAAGUCUGAUGUGAAAGCCCCCGG
RNAcentral lists this ribosomal RNA (521 nucleotides) under Bacillus sp. (in: firmicutes). Its description in RNAcentral is "bacterial SSU rRNA". It matches the Rfam family "Bacterial small subunit ribosomal RNA", at positions 100 to 607 of the family's 1533-position model. Lineage: Bacteria; Bacillati; Bacillota; Bacilli; Caryophanales; Bacillaceae. The record is from RNAcentral.